AUAAAAAAAAAAGUCUUUAUAAAGUUGCAACCUUAAAAUGUAAAAUUAUUCUUCAUGACUUCUAUGUACAAAAUAAUAAAAAAAAAUUUAUAUAAGGUUACAACCUUAAAAUGCAAAGAUUCACGUCGAAAAUCCAUCGUAAAAUGUUGUUAUAAUGUUGAAAAACCUGUUAAAUGAUUGUCUUGACAAAGAGAUGUAUGAAUAUGAAAAAAAAAAAAAGAUUUUUAGUCUCGUAAAUAAUCUAUCUUGCAACAUAUUAUCUAGACCGUUAAUCUUCAAUAUUUUUCAUAUGUUUAUAGAUCUAAUUAAUUUUAACUAUUUUUAGAAUUUAAAAUUUUAUAAUUAAAUGUGAAAAUUGUUUUUCAAAUAAUCUUAAGCAUUGUUUACACCAAAAUUACAUGCUAUGAUAAAUUUUGAAGGCACACCUGAAUUGGAUUGUUAGAAAGAAGUAGUUUCUUUAUGACGAGGAAAAAUUUUAUAUAGAGCCGAGGCUCCAAACAAUCAAAUUAGAGCUCACCUAAAAACUUUCACUAGAAGAGGUUAUUUUGAUGCCUAAAUAUGAUCAAGUUGAUCAUCUCGAAAUUAAGAUGCAUGGACAUGAGAAAACAUGAAUUUCAAGUUUUAGAAAUAGUGCAUAUUGUAACGUAUUUUUGGAUCGUUAAUUUAAGAUUAUCAAGUUUUAUAGAUCUACUCGAUCUACACUAUUUCAAAGCUUUAAAUUUUAUAAUUAAAUAUAAAAAUAUAUUUUAAGAAUAUCACAAAUAUUUUUCGAUAAUGAAACUAUAUUUCUGGGUAGCAUUUGAAUGUGUGUUUUGCUUUUGUUUUUUUGAGCCUCCGCUUUAUUCAAACCGCACCUUGUAGACAAUCCCAAGAAACUGGCUUUCUAAUCGAUUUAAAAGGGUGCGGUCCUUUUUGGUUAGGAAAGGUUGAUGUGAUGGGCGAACGAUGGGGAUUAAACCUGCACGUGGUGGAUUCACAAUCUUCGAACUACUUGGUUACAUCCGCACCUACCCCUCGGACAGGUUUCAGUCUCUAUUUACGAUUGUAUGAAGCUGAGGCCGUAAACAAUCAAAGUAAGGUGCACUUUUAAAUAGUGUUAAAUGAUAGUUUCAAUGGUUGAAACUUUUGUAAUUGUCUUUAAAUAUAUUUUCACUUUUAAUUAUAUAAUUUAAAAUUUAAAACUCUAAAAAUAAUGUAGAUCGAGCAAUUUAUGAAAACUUAAAAAUCUUCAAAAUUGACUAUCAAAAUAUAUAUUAUAAGAUGUAUUAUUUUUAAAAUUUAAAUUUAAUUUAUUUAUUUAUUUUUAUUUUUUAUAUAGUCGAGAUGAUCAAUUUGAAGAUAUAUGAGCAUCAAAACAACGUCAGUGAACUUUUUUAGAUGCGGUCUAAUUGGAUAGUUUAGAGCCCGGCACUUAUAUAAACUUUUUCCUUUAAAAAUGAUACAGGUUUCUAGUGGCACUCCAAGAAAAGUAGGGGUAAUGUUGUCAUUUUGAUGAGAAUUCCCCUUAAAAAGGACUGCUCUGUUUUGUUUCAAUGACGGUACAUCAAAAAAGCCAUGGGACGUGCGAAGAAAUUGAUCAUUGAUACAGAUCCCGGAAUAGGUAAAAAUAAAAAUAAAAUAAAAGGCCACAAAUUUGGUUUUCUUUUUCAUUUUACAUUGAUUAAAUCAAUUUUAUCACCAUUAUUAUGUGAUUAAUGUUUUCUGCUUUUCAUUUAAUUAACAGGGUUAUAUUCAACCUUGAUUUUUCUCAGUUUUUUCUUUUCAUUUUUUUUACUAUGGAUUAAAGUAUUUAUAGUGAAGAUUUUGAAUAUGUGAAACCCAAGAAUAUGGAAUUUUAGGUCCUGCUUUAUUGCCAGUGUGCUGAGCUUUAUACAAUGAAACUCCAAAUUAUAGUAGAUUGAAUCAGUUUUUUCCCUUUUUCUGGAGUGCCCACUAUUAUCAGAGGGCCUUUGAAAUUAUGAAUUAUUAAGUUUUUAACUGUUUUGUCUAAUUAUCGUAAGGGGACUAUAAACUGGGGCUACUUGAAUCAGUUUGUUUUCAAUUUAUUUUGAUUUAGUUCAAUUCAAUGUGCUUAGAAAGCCUCGAUAUGGAUGGAUCUGGGUUUUGUUGCUGCAUAAUCAAGAUUAAAUUAAAUUUUGCAUUUUUCUUUGUACUUAAACAUAUGUUCAUUUAUUGGUGAUAUGUGAUGUCAUUAAAUGUAGAAAAUGAAGCACAAAUGUUUUGUUUAUGUUGAAGUGCUUUUUAUUUUUGAUUAAUUUUGAUUUAUUGAUAAAAAGUCUAUUUGUUUACCUGUGCAUUUUAUGCUGAUAUGUGCUGUGAUUAAAACAUUAAAUGUUUUCUUUUUUUUCUUUGCAAAGGAAUCCUGGCCAAUAAUUUGGGCUUUAAAUUCUUGUGUUAAAAAACUAAGGAAUACUAUUUCUAUCCCAAGAACAAAAAAAGAUAAAAAUGGAUCAGUGCACUGAAACAAUCUAGGGCAGAGCUUUUUUUGGAUUCGUAGGUUGGGUCAUCUUGCAUUGACAUGAUCGAGGACAUAUGUGGAUCAGAUCAUUCUUGGUGAAAUCUACGCUUAGAUAAAUCUGAAUGAAUCAGAGCAUUUUUUAUGAAAUCCAUGAUUAAAUACAUCAGAAAAGUGGGAUUUAGAAUGCAGGCAUUGUCCUCAUUCUUUUCAUGAAUUUGAGAUAAAUUGUAGCAUUUUCAGGUGAAUUUUAGGAAGAGGUUUUUCAAUUGACAUAUAUUUGGGCAAAGUCCUACACUACAAACAAAAAAAGACUCUGAAUUUAUGUGUUAUUUAGCAAUUUCACAGCAUUGGUUCCCUUCUUUUCAGUGUUUCAUGUUUCCUGAAAUUUAUAGUACUAUGCAGUUUGGUCAUUUAUUAUGUCAAACUUCACAGUGUUAUAGUAAUUUCAGUGUGGAAUCCUGAAAUUCAAAGUGAAAUGCCAAGUAUGGUUAUGGGGUUGUCUUUUACUUAGAUAUAUAUAUAUAUUUUUUUUUCUGUUAUCCUUUGGAGAACUACUUGAAGAGUUUUUGCAUGUACUUUUAUGAUGGUAAUAACAAUACGAUGAGUCCGUGGAACUGUUCAAUUUGUAGCCUUUAGGUAGAUGAUACGUGAAUUGGAUUUUUUUCCUCACCAAUGAAUUGAGUGGAUUUGGCUUAAAGCUCAAGUGAGGCCACUCAUUGAACAAUGAAGGACAUAGAUUGCUAAUUUCACGAACUGUUUUUCUAUUAUAUAAGAUAUCAAUAUUUCUAGGAUUAGUAGAAAAUAGAAAAUUUCAAAAAAGACAAAUUUUUAGGAGAAAUCUAAUAAGAGGAACAUGAAAAGAAGAGAUUUACCAAAUGAAAAUGGUAAAUUGCUAUAUUUUAUCUUAUAUUAGGGGUUGUAUAGAAGCUCAUAAUCUAAUAUCAUUGAAAAAUAUGUUUUCUUAGAUAAGACUUACAUUUACUUUGCAAAGGCAUAUUUACUCCGAUAAAAAGCACCUACUAUGAAAAAUAAGGGUUCAACAGAUUAUUCUUUUGGGCCAUUUUAGCUUAUAUUUGUCUCACUUGGUUUUAUUGUAUGAGCAGAUGAUGCCAUGGCAAUAUUUUUGGCACUUAAAUCACCAGAAGUGGAUGUCAUUGGACUGACCACGAUAUUUGGGAAUGUUUAUACAACUUUAGCUACAAGAAAUGCUCUACAUUUGGUAUCUCUUUUCCCCAUGAACUUGGAGAUGACUAUGGGAGCAAAUGCAUGAUACUUGUUUUCAUGGCAUUAUGCAUUAUUAUUUUAUUGUUGUAGAGAUUUCCAUUUUGAUUAAGCAUUUAAGGUUACAUCAGAUGGUUAGGCAUUUGCAUCUUCCUUGACUGUUUGUCAUUGUCUGUUUUAGCUGGAGGUUGCAGAGAGGCAAGAGAUUCCAGUGGCAGAAGGAUCGCAUGUAACAUUGAAGGUUAGCUUUUCAGUAACGCCAAAGAUUAGUUUUUCUCUCCUUUAUUUCCAUUAUAGGUUGGUCAAAUGGGACUUUUUUCCUUGUAUUUUUCACUGCUUCUAUCUGUUAACCUUCAACUACUUGAUAACUGGUGUUUUUGACCCUGCAAUCCACAUUUAAAAUCUGACUUCUUGAGAUAGUGGUUGAGGAUUUUUUAUUUAUUGUCAUUUUAAAAAAGAGAAGUGCUGAAACCCACAGUGGACUCUAUCCCAUUUCUUGCAUCUUUCACAUCAUGGAUGAAAAACUUUAAGCUUUUUCUCUUGCUUGUUUAUUAUUAAUAGUGAUUUUGCCAAUAAAAGAUUUGAAAUUCCAUGUUUGCUUAACUGAGUUUCUUGUUAUUUGUUUGGAAAAGAAAGUUACAAAGCUUCGGAUUGCUGAUUUCGUCCAUGGUGCUGAUGGGCUUGGCAACCACAAUUAUCCUCCACCUAAAGGGAAGCCAAUCGAUCAAUCUGCCGCAUCUUUUCUUGUAGAAAAGGCAAAUCAAUUUCCAGGAGAGGUCACUGUUGUCGCACUUGGCCCUCUUACCAAUAUUGCCUUGGUCGGUUCUUAGCUCUUGAACUUGACACAAUUCCAUCUUCUGCUUCUAAUUUAUCACAGUACGCACCUAUUAAUAUUGCCUUGGUUAGUCUCUUAGUGUUCCAAUCGAAACAAUUUUACUUCUAUCUUCUGAUUAAUCGCAUUACCCAUUUACUACUUUUGUUGAUCUCUUGGUUUUUGAAACUGACACAACUCCUAUCCGUGCUUUUAAGAAAUUGCAAUAUCAACUUAUGAAUGUCACUUCAGCCAGUCCCUUGGCUCUCCAAUCGACCCAAUCCCUCCUUUGUGCUUCUCAUCAAUCACAUGAAUCACUUACUAAUAUUGCCCAGGUUCGAUUUUUGGCUUUAACUUGCUUCCCUUGUGUGCUUCUAAUUAGUCUUACUACUGGUACAGGCAAUCCAAUUGGAUCCUGAAUUUCCAAAGAAGAUUGGUCAGAUCGUUAUUCUUGGUGGUGCAUUUUCAGUCAAUGGGAAUGUCAAUCCUGCAGCCGAGGCCAAUGUAUGCCACUUUGCGUUUAGAUAGCCUAUGUGCACUUACGUAGAGUUUCAAAUUCAAAUCUGGGCAUCUUGAUUUCACCUUACUUCACAUGCUUCUUCCGUAGGAAUGAAUUCUGUUCAUUUAUGAAAGAAACACACAACUAAUGUAGAAUUUAUGGGAUCAAUUUAAAGAUUUUUGGUGACCCAGAAGCUGCUGAUGAAGUCUUUACAUGUGGAGCAGACAUCUUGGCUGUUGGGAUUAAUGUUACUCAUCAAGUUGUUAUGACAGGUAUGUAAUACCCUAUAAGAAUAAAUAGUGGCCUGUUAUACAUCAAGAAAUAUGAUGGAGCUUAUGUUGUCAAUAUCACUACCCCACUUUUCUUUUAGUUAUAUAGGACCUUGUUUAUCUUAACAAAGACGUGCCUAGAUUGGUACACGUUGACGAAACUCUGUCCAAAACUGGUCAAUAUUUUAGCAAAAUCAGAUAGAAUGGGUUCAAAAUGGGCAAAUGAGGCCUAAAUUGGUUCAAAUUGAUCCAUAUUGACAGAAGGCCAUCUAUUUACUGGCCUUGGGCUGCUUCUGAUUGCUAAUUAACGCUUCAAAUCCAAUUUUAGCAGCUAUGCUACUAGUUGAUUCAUAAUCACAUAUCGACGUCCUAUAAUAUAGCAGUGAUAGCAUUCUCACCUUCUUACUCCAACUUAAUAGUGGGUUUGUCUUGUGAUUUUGUUUCCAUUUUGCAGUUGCAGAUCUUGAGGAACUUUCGAGAUCUGAGGGGAAGUGUGCAAAACAUGUAUGCCAUAUGGCAAAUCUCUACUUCUCAUAUCAUAAGGAGGCAUAUGGCAUGGAUGGUGGGUUUCUUAAGAGGUUUCUUUUUCAAAUUUUAUUGCUCUAUGAUGUGGUUGUUCUAUCGGUUUGAGACAUUAUGUGCCUUUUGCUAUAUGUUUGGUUUGAUACAGGCGUUUAUCUUCAUGAUCCUACUGCUAUGCUUGCUGCCAUUGACCCAACAUUGGUGACAUAUGCUGAGGGUGUAGUAAGAGUGCAGACAUCUGGCAUCAUGAGGGGCCUCACGAUAUUUGCCAACAUGAGGAAGAGGUCACUUUCCAUUGUUUUCGAACUUUCUUUUCACAAAUGAAAAAAAUCUUUAGGGGCUGUCUUAGGUUAUUGGCAUGGUUCUCUUGGGCUAGCCUGACUUUGUGGGUUUGAUAUUCAGCAGAUUAGUUUAGUUUGGUUUCAAAGUUUUAUUCAAAUUCUUACCUCUUCAAUGACAUCCUGAAUUUUCCAUUCAAAAUUUGUUGACCCACUCAAUUUUUUGAGAAAUACCCAAAAUAUCCUUUAUUUUCUUGAAAUGGUUAUUGUGGGAGCUGGCCUGACAAAAAUUUAGCUAUUAUCGAUUUUUUUGAAAUGGUUAUUACAGAAACUGGCUGAAGUGCUUAUAUCUGUGAUGUUCUCAAUUGACCAAAUGUUAUCCGCUUGUCUGCUAAAAAUAGCUUUACAUUUCAAACAACUAUCUUGCCCUUCAUGUUUUCUGUUUCUUGUAUUUGAAAUUAUUGUUCCCUUUCUCUUCGCUCAUUGUUGUAUUUUGCUCAUGGGCCCUUGGAGUGGUUCAGAUCUGAUUUUUUCAUCUGUAGUUGGAAUAUUUCAAUCUUCCAAGAUAUAGAGGACUCGUGUGUCAAAUGUUUGUCAACUUGAUUUCUGGGUAUUUUAUUAUUUAUUAUAGGUAACAGUUGUUUAAGAGAAACAAAUAAAGAAAUACUAAAAAUCAAAACAUAGCACAAUAUUGAGAUUCAGGUUUGAAUUCUUUUACUUUCACUUUCCUCAACUACCCUUUUUAGAUCUUUUAAAAUUCAGGAACUUGACUAGAAAAGGCAUGCGGAGUGAAGUAUGACAAACCCGCAUUAAAGUUUUUCAUUUUCCUCUUCUUUCUUAUAUAAAAAAAUUACCCAAAACAAUUUUUUUGAUUAAUUUUGUUGGGUAAUUCUGCUAAAUUUCAGGUUCAGUGAGAUCACAGAGUGGACCAACAAACCGACGGUGAAGGUGGCGGUUACUGUGAAUGCAGAAGAAACGGUGAAAUUGCUCAUGGCGAGGCUUUCCAAACCCUAACAAAAUUGGACAUGUGCUGGACUGUGAUGGGUGCUCAUCUUUGUAAGCGACACGUGGCGGCUCUUGAUUGGAUGCCAUGAAUCUUUCUUGUGCUGCUCAAAAUAAAGGUGUUUUUAUAUUUUCUUUCUUUUUAAGCAAAAAAAAAAAAACCAGUCCAAAAGGAGUGAGACUUUCUUCUUGAUAUGAAAAAGUGGGGUAUUUGAAUGGCAUUUAUGCAGUUGGGAGUUGAAUGGUAAUUGGGCCUUCUCCCUCUCCCUCUCCCUCCCUCUCCCUCUCCCUCCCUCUCUCACUUUCUCUCUCUCUCAAGUUUUUUGAACAUCUAAAUAGUGAAAAAGAAGUUAGAAAAGGACUACAAAAUUAGAAAAGGAGUAGUAACACUUUUGUCUUGAUAAAAGUUGAGACCUAAGACUAAGUGAAUGUGGUAGUGCAAAAUUUAAUGAGAGAGAAAGAAAUGAUCCAAAGAAUGUGAUACUGAGGCUGAUGCCUUGGCUAGAGCAACUAGAACAAUUUCAUCAGUUAGUAGAUUUUUUGUUGUAUAAUUAUAUUAACUCUUUUGAUAGAGAAGUCAUGUUCCAUGUUAAUAUGCGUGUUUGUUUGGCAGAAGGUUUGGAUUUGGAAGACGAACUUUCCAAAUUUUUUGGCUCCAUGGGAGGCAUGAAAGGGGUGGGAAAAAAAAAAUUGAAACCACUCUUUCCAUGCCACCCCGUGGAGCCAAAAAGUUCGGAAGGUUCAGCUUCUGCCAAACAAACACGCCUUUAGAGAGAGAGAGAUUGCCCUUCUUGUGGAUGGAAGUGCAUAGAAUGAUGUAGUGAUAAUGCCGGCAUAAGCUUUAUCACCAUUAAUCAUUGUUUUGUACGGUGAUGGAGAGAGCUUGAAGGCACAUGGGAAUCAAUCCGAUCAGCUCUGCAAUCGCUACCGUCCAAAGAAGUAAGUGAACGAUAAAUAUAAAGUUCAUUCAUAUUGAUCAUACUUUCUCCUCUUUUUUUUUUUUUGAAGAACAUAUGGAUCCUAUUUUCUCCUUGUUGAUAUGGUACACCACAUUAGUAUUUUUAGGAAGAAAAAUAUAGAAUCAUUAUCCAAGUCUUAUUCCAAGUAUUUGAGUUCAGUUACAUGAAUUAUGUUCUUCCAUUUUUCGAUCAAGAGACGUAAAUAAGAAAAAGAAAAAUUAUUUCAUUCGAGCUCAUACUACAUUUCAAUAUAUGCGGUCCAGAAAGUGUAAAGCAACCAUAUUAAAGAUGAACACAAGUAGGUGUUCCAUCUAAAACAAUAGAAACUAAUGGUCCAAAUGUUUUCUUACUAUAAACCGGGUCUUAAGAAAAAUGCAAAAUAAGACUAUUUAUCUUUAGUACAUGUACUGAAAGUGUAGAAUAAAUUAUUUACCUUAGGUACAAAGAUGUCAUAAACUUCGUGAAUGUUAGAUUUAAAUUCAAAUGGUUAGGUAUCAGUCGUUGACCAAGCUCAAAGUUAAAAAGAAAACAUCUUGAGCUAUGCAAAACAUCUCAAGCUUUCAGAUUUGACACCCAACAGAGUAAUUGCGACUUUCUUAUAAUGUAGGAAAAUCGUUUUAUAUAGAUAAAUUUCAUGGUAAGAUGUAUGUUUAAAAAAAAUCACAUAUCUAUAUAGGGCAUCAACCUUAUACUAUUGAAAUAAAAUGCACUUUAGAAAAAGUUGUUCCGAUGUUGAAAGACCCUCAAAUUGAUCAUCUCAACCUUAAGAUUGAUCGAUAUUAAAAAAAAAAGAAAAAAGAAAAAAAAGAUCUCAAGUCAUGAAAAAUAAUUCAUCUUAUAACAUAUUAUUUUGACUGUCUAUUUUAUAAAUGGGAAAACAUACAAAUAUAUCAUUUACUUUUAAUACAAGGAGGUCACAAUUACUUUUGUCUAUCAAAUUUCAAAUCGGAUGGUUGUGAGUAUCAUUGACUAGCCUCUAAAUACAAAAAAAAAAUUCUCAAAUUUUGUGACAUCCAAACUAUCCAAUUUGACAUUUAAUGGUUAGUAUGAAUUGUGACCUCCUCAUACGAAAAAUAAAUAACCUCAUAAUAUACAAUCCUUUUAGAAAUAGAUAAUUGUUUAUAUAUCUACUUGACUUGAAUCAUUUUUUAGCUUUGAAUUUCAUGCAUAAGAGUGAAUAGAUUUUUAUGCCAUUUUAAGGCUUUACAGCGCCAAAACUACAUGUAAAAACCUCACACCUAUGCAUUACAACAAAGGUUCCCACCUUUUUGUCAUCAUUUUCAAUCUCUAAAUUACACUUUGAACAAACACUCAAAAGUUUUUUAAAUUGGAAGACACCCAAUGUCCAAAUUCAUCACCCCAAAAAAUAAACCCCUGAUUGAAAUAUCAGGUGUCUGAACCAAGAAACAUCCACGAUAGCUUAAAUAGAGUUAUUGCAGAGCAUAGAAAAUAUGCUAUCCUUUUUCAAAUAUACAUCUUGUAGAGGGAUUUAACUAGAAAAUUCAUCAAAAUUUUAUGCAAUAAAAAUUUAAAAUAUUAUUUUUUUCUUGUACAGGGUUUAACUACAAAUUUGUCAUCAGAUGUUUGUGGGCAUAUGUACUCGUGGGAGUGUUUCUUUGCUCAUUUUCUAUGUAAGUGCCAAUGAUGGUACAAGGUGUGAGCCAUAUCCUUGGAUUUGCCUAAUUAUCCCUAGAUAUAUACAAAUUGCCACCCCUAGAUAAGUGCAUUUUUUUUCCCCUGACUACGUCACUAAAUUAAGGAAAAUUUAUUGAAAUACCCAUAAAAGAUUGAAAUACCCAUAAAAGAUGAACUAUUAAAUAAUUUACCAUUAGCAAAUACUUUUAACUCAUGAUCAUGUGCCUUUUUUAUGGAUAUUUUGAAAUUAAAUUAGGCAGAACAUAAAACAAUUCAUCUUUCAUGGAUGUUAGAUUAAACUUCCCCCAAAUUAAUAAAAGUGAUAGUCUCAUUAUAUGCAUUGCUUUACCAUAAACAUCGAAAAGAUGAAAAAGGUUUCUAUAUGACAGGAACUUGUAGAUGUAAGACUGCCAUACCCUACAUUGUUAAAGACAUGAUAAAUUUUGAUAGUAUAAAAGACAUUAAAAAUCUAUACCAUCAAACUAAAAAGAACAUUAUAGAGUACCAAACAACCUUACUUCAACAAGUCAGCUUGCCGCAUUACAUGAACUGUAUAAAAAAGAAAGGAAAUGUAUAAAAUGAAAUCAUUUAUUUUGCAUACAAAGUAGUCUCAAUCACUAUUAACCAUUAAGUUUGAAAUCAGUUAAUUGAGGAUGUAUCAUCGUCUGGUCAUAAAGUCCAAAAUAAAAUUUUUCGAAUAUUGUGACAAACUUUAAUCUAUUUGAUUUUACAAAUAAUGACUAAAAUGAUUGUGACCUCAUUGGACCAACAAUGGUCUCCUAAUAUACAAUCCCAUAAAAAAAGAAGUAAACUUCAGUAUCAUAAAUGUAAGAGAGGAGCCACAUUUGAAUAUUAACCCUGCUGAACAGUAACAUGCUCUAUAGGAAAAGAAUGAUGUUUCUUCCGGACCCAAACAAAAUCCAUCUCAAAGGGUCUCUUUCUCUCUCUACCAGAAUUAAAUAUUAGCCCUGCAGAAUUGUAACAAAUCUCUCUCUCUCUCUCUNNNNNNNNNNNNNNNNNNNNNNNNNNNNNNNNNNNNNNNNNNNNNNNNNNNNNNNNNNNNNNNNNNNNNNNNNNNNNNNNNNNNNNNNNNNNNNNNNNNNNNNNNNNNNNNNNNNNNCGUUACCGUACCGUAAACCAAACUAACACUACUACUAACGGUACGUACGUUCUUCUCUACUACUACGUAACUUAAAUAAUUACGUACUCGUCACGAUAGUAACUAACUUCUCUCUCUCUCUCUCUCUCUCUCUCUCUCUCUCUCUCUCUCUCUCUCCUGUGUGUUGUGCUGAGCAACCCAGACAGUUCAUUCC
Molecule: long non-coding RNA, 10967 nt
Filed under: Amborella trichopoda
Lineage: Eukaryota; Viridiplantae; Streptophyta; Magnoliopsida; Amborellales; Amborellaceae
Description: long non-coding RNA (ATRI_LNC005437)
Source: RNAcentral